Molecule: long non-coding RNA, 356 nt
Organism: Rosa chinensis
Lineage: Eukaryota; Viridiplantae; Streptophyta; Magnoliopsida; Rosales; Rosaceae
Exons: 3
Source: RefSeq, a predicted model, not a curated record
CGGGGGCGGUUCAGCGUGCAUGUUAUACGGAAUUUGGUCUACUCCUCGUCCUCUACACAUCUCUCUAUCCUGGUCCCAGAACUCAGAAGCAUGAUCGGUCGAACCCAGAUGGUUGGCCGAGCUGAGUUGAUGAUCUUGUAAUUCUUUAAGUUUGGAAAAGGAGAGCAAAGGGAGAAGACACGCUUAAGUGACCAAAGAUUUAGACUAUGAUCGAAGCCAAUUACAAAGAUUCGGAGGAAGAUGAGUCAUGAGACCCUUCCAAGGAGGUGUUUGAGGCAAUACGGUAAUAAAUCAGACACAUAGCUUCUGGGAUUGUCACUCCUCCGCCGACUGUUCUUCCACCACCGAGUUCUCAU